AAAAAUAUAGCUUAAUUUAAAGUGUUUUAUUUACACUGAAAUGAUCAUUGUUAAAAUGUAUUUUUA
Molecule: transfer RNA, 66 nt
Filed under: Ptenothrix huangshanensis
Lineage: Eukaryota; Metazoa; Arthropoda; Collembola; Symphypleona; Dicyrtomidae
Description: tRNA-Val
Rfam family: tRNA
About the family: Transfer RNA (tRNA) molecules are approximately 80 nucleotides in length. Their secondary structure includes four short double-helical elements and three loops (D, anti-codon, and T loops). Further hydrogen bonds mediate the characteristic L-shaped molecular structure. tRNAs have two regions of fundamental functional importance: the anti-codon, which is responsible for specific mRNA codon recognition, and the 3' end, to which the tRNAs corresponding amino acid is attached (by aminoacyl-tRNA synthetases). tRNAs cope with the degeneracy of the genetic code in two manners: having more than one tRNA (with a specific anti-codon) for a particular amino acid; and 'wobble' base-pairing, i.e. permitting non-standard base-pairing at the 3rd anti-codon position.
Source: RNAcentral